RNAcentral lists this long non-coding RNA (368 nucleotides) under Dromaius novaehollandiae (emu). RNAcentral describes it as "lncRNA (ENSDNVG00000011691.1)". The record is from RNAcentral. Lineage: Eukaryota; Metazoa; Chordata; Aves; Casuariiformes; Dromaiidae.
CUCUGCUCCAGCCAAGACGCUGCUCUGAAGCCAGUCUGGAAGAACAGAGCAGUCUGUAGGGAUACACAGGUGGCCCUGCAGUUUGCAGACAAGACUUCUGAGCAUAACAAAGGAUGAAAAGUAAGAGAAAAGAAGGCAGCCAUGCACAGGCAAGGACAUAAAAGAAAACUGUAUUGGAGAAAAUAAGACUCACCAGGAGUUCAUGCAUCUCAAACCCCAUUUCACAAAACAAAGAAGCGUACUAUCUUCCUAAUAGCAGUUUUAGUGGGGAAAAGGAAUAUUUUCAUCACUGGUUUGCUCUAAGCAUAAAUGGAAGAUCACUAUCAACUCCUUCAUCUGGCCCAGUCCAGCUCUGCGCAAGCGUUUGA